This 500-nucleotide ribosomal RNA is filed under the name Neogale vison (American mink). Its description in RNAcentral is "partial large subunit ribosomal RNA". It matches the Rfam family "Bacterial large subunit ribosomal RNA", at positions 1945 to 2619 of the family's 2925-position model. The record is from RNAcentral. Lineage: Eukaryota; Metazoa; Chordata; Mammalia; Carnivora; Mustelidae.
ACCGUGCAAAGGUAGCAUAAUCAUUUGUUCUCUAAAUAGGGACUUGUAUGAAUGGCCACACGAGGGUUUAACUGUCUCUUACUUCCAAUCAGUGAAAUUGACCUUUCCGUGAAGAGGCGGGAAUACACAAAUAAGACGAGAAGACCCUAUGGAGCUUUAAUUAACUAACCCAUAAUAAUUUAUAAACUCACCUACCAGGUCUAACACAACAUUAUUACUGGGUUAACAAUUUAGGUUGGGGUGACCUCGGAGAAUAAAACAACCUCCGAGUGAUUAAAUCACAGACAAACCAGUCGAAGCAUUUUAUCAUUUAUUGAUCCAAUAUCUUGAUCAACGGAACAAGUUACCCUAGGGAUAACAGCGCAAUCCUAUUUGAGAGUCCAUAUCAACAAUAGGGUUUACGACCUCGAUGUUGGAUCAGGACAUCCUAAUGGUGCAGCAGCUAUUAAGGGUUCGUUUGUUCAACGAUUAAAGUCCUACGUGAUCUGAGUUCAGACCGG